CCCUUAGAUGUUCUGGGCCGCACACGCGCUACACUGAAGGAGGCAGCGUGUACUCCUGGAUCGAAAGAUUUGGGUAACCCGCGAAUCUCCUUCGUGCUAGGGAUUGAGGUUUGCAAUUAUCCUUCAUGAACGAGGAAUUCCCAGUAAGUGCAAGUCAUAAGCUUGCGCUGACUACGUCCCUGCCCUUUGUACACACCGCCCGUCGCUACUACCGAUUGAAUGGUCCGGUGAAGCCUCGGGAUUGCGAAUGCUUCGUGCGGACGCGAGAACUUGGCUAAACCUUACCAUUUAGAGGAAGGUGAANUCGUANCA
Molecule: ribosomal RNA, 312 nt
Filed under: uncultured eukaryote
Lineage: Eukaryota
Description: partial 18S ribosomal RNA
Rfam family: Eukaryotic small subunit ribosomal RNA
Source: RNAcentral